This 72-nucleotide transfer RNA is filed under the name Camelus bactrianus (Bactrian camel). It matches the Rfam family "tRNA". From Rfam's summary of the family: Transfer RNA (tRNA) molecules are approximately 80 nucleotides in length. Their secondary structure includes four short double-helical elements and three loops (D, anti-codon, and T loops). Further hydrogen bonds mediate the characteristic L-shaped molecular structure. tRNAs have two regions of fundamental functional importance: the anti-codon, which is responsible for specific mRNA codon recognition, and the 3' end, to which the tRNAs corresponding amino acid is attached (by aminoacyl-tRNA synthetases). tRNAs cope with the degeneracy of the genetic code in two manners: having more than one tRNA (with a specific anti-codon) for a particular amino acid; and 'wobble' base-pairing, i.e. permitting non-standard base-pairing at the 3rd anti-codon position. The record is from Rfam by way of RNAcentral. RNAcentral also lists the same sequence under 2 other names. Lineage: Eukaryota; Metazoa; Chordata; Mammalia; Artiodactyla; Camelidae.
GGGUGUAUAGCUUAGUGGUAGAGCACAUGCUUAGCAUGCAUGAGGUCCUGGGUUCAAUCCCCAGUGCCCCCA